CUGACCUCGGAUCAGUAGA
This 19-nucleotide ribosomal RNA is filed under the name Pleosporales sp. s086. RNAcentral's name for it is "partial 28S ribosomal RNA". Lineage: Eukaryota; Fungi; Ascomycota; Dothideomycetes; Pleosporales. The record is from RNAcentral.